CAGUUUCACCUGAGCACCCAGCCGCCCCCUGGCCCUCAGCCAUGAUGACUCACACAGGUGUCAGGUAUGCAGUAAGAACACCUGAAACAGACAGGUGUGUGGUUACAACUAGACUUACAGCACCUGAAACAGACAGGUGUGGUUGCAACUAGACUUACAGCACCUGAAACAGACAGGUGUGUGGUUACAACUAGACUUACAGCAUCUGAAACAGGCAGGUGUGGUUACAACUAGACUUACAGCACCUGAAACAGACAGGUGUGUGGUUACAACUAGACUUACAGCACCUGAAACAGACAGGUGUGGUUACAACUAGACUUACAGCACC
Molecule: long non-coding RNA, 328 nt
Organism: Branchiostoma belcheri (Belcher's lancelet)
Lineage: Eukaryota; Metazoa; Chordata; Leptocardii; Amphioxiformes; Branchiostomatidae
Exons: 2
Source: RefSeq, a predicted model, not a curated record